CGUAAGGCGGCCCGGAAGCUCCUGGCGCCUGGCAACCGGCGCGCGUCGGGCGGGCGGGGCUGCGGCAACCGGUGCGGCUCGCCGGACCGGGCGGGGCUGAGUGGCGGGCGAGCCGCGCUCCGUAAGCGGAGCGUCGCCGGGCUGCGGAGAGCCGAGCAUGUUCGCUCCGAGAGCGGAGUCCGCACGAGCGCUGGGCCGCCCUCCCUGCCCCGCUGCCGCGGCCAGGCCAAGCGGGGCGGAGGUCUCCCGCGUUGUCCCCUGCCCCCGUUGACCCCGCUGCGGGAGCCUCAGAGGGCACCACCGCCACGGCCCAAGCAUUCGAAGAAGCCCCUCUCCUCCAAGGUGGAGCUGCGGGGACAAAUCUCACUUUCAUCAGCACUGUUGGAAGAAGAAAAAAUGCCAGUCCUGUCUCCGGAAAUCAAAUUUGAUACUUCCAAUGUUACCAGAAAUUCCUUUGACAGUUGUUUUCUUUUUGAGAGUAGUUGGAGGAAAGCAGUUUUAGAAACACAAAAGAUGAAGAAAGAAUACACCUUUGGUCUAGAAGAGUUCAAAGAAUGUGUCAAGAUGCCGUAUUUACCAGGACUGCAGAGUUGCCCAAAAAGUGUAAGUUCAACUCCACUGGAAGUUCGUCAGAGACUGCGGCAGGCUGACCCCGAGAUGUGUCCAGUCAGCCAGUCUAGUGAGAACAUGUCGAGUUGCAUGCAAGUGCUUUCUUCUCCUCUGCAUAUUGCACAGUGCCCCGUGAACGAAAAACCGUGGCAUAGCAGGAUAAGGAAGAUUAAGGAGGCCCGCACUGUGGUACCACUUCAGGAGAAAACAAAGGGAUUUUUAAGGCAUUCUAAUUCUUCAAUCAACUUUGGUUCUGGCUUCAGUGAUCCUAUUGCUGGAGCAUCAUCUCAAUACUUACAGAGACUUUCCAAAAUGGCCAUAUUGGAGUAUGAUACCAUUCGUCAAGAAACUACUAGAAAAUCCAAAAAGAGCAAGAAACGAGACCUGCGAGACUGCUGAUAAGUAUCACAUCACAUGCAAUGCUUUCUUCACUGAUGUCUAAGGUUUAUAUAUAUUUUCCUUUCUUUUUCUUUUUUUGAUAUGUGGUAUGAUGUGCAAUGAUUUACAUAAAAAUGGAAAUGUAAAUAAGAAAUAAAUAUUUUAUGUAAUAUACAGAAUCAUUUG
This 1173-nucleotide long non-coding RNA is filed under the name Mustela putorius furo (domestic ferret). RNAcentral describes it as "lncRNA (ENSMPUG00000028824.1)". Lineage: Eukaryota; Metazoa; Chordata; Mammalia; Carnivora; Mustelidae. The record is from RNAcentral.